Micropterus salmoides (largemouth bass) is the source of this 980-nucleotide long non-coding RNA. RefSeq lists it as uncharacterized. The transcript is spliced from 3 exons. NCBI's taxonomy places the organism in Eukaryota, Metazoa, Chordata, Actinopteri, Centrarchiformes, Centrarchidae. The record is from RefSeq and is a predicted model, not a curated record.
CCAAAUAACAGUAUUUAAAUGGCCUCAUUUUGUAUUAUUGUGGCAUAAUCUCAUCGCCACUUGUCACUGAGCUUCAUCUAAAUUGUGAAACAGCGCCCCCUGGAUUAAAACACGUUGUAAGUAUCGGUGAUUGUGUGCGGUCAAACGGGGUAUUGCAGUCCUACAGCAAGCUCUAGCAGAGGAAGCCAGGAGGAAAACCAGGUGAAGUCGGCACCUGUUUGAUUAGAUAAUGGUCUCAGUCAGUCAGUCAGUCCGGCGGGCGGGUUCACUGUCGAUUCACCGUGAAAGAUCCAUUUCACAACAAACCAUUACUUUCAUAAAUUUCUCACGCUAAUGAAAGAACCGCGAAAGUUUUAGCUAGUUUUUUCGGUAAUGUGUCGAACGCGGCCGGACUCAAAAUGGCGGCUGCAACGACAAGUGCAAAUGAACAACUUCCGUCUUCUCUUCAAACACGGUGAAGUGUGAUCAGUACUGGCGUGCAGACCGAGAGCCUCUGUCCUACAGUGACCUGGUCAUUCAGAUGCUGUCAGAGCAUCGGUACCUGCUCUUUAUCUCAGUUCCUGAUCCAGUUUGUCAGGAUGGUCCCGGGACUACGUGGACCGAUCACCCACCACCGGAGCCACCAUCGUACACUGCAGUGCUGGUGUUGGCCGUACAGGGACCUUCAUCGCCUUGGAUCGGGUUCUGCAGCAGCUGGACUCCAAAGGAACCAUCGACCUGUACGGCUGUGUCUUCGACCUCCAGCUGCACCGCCAACAUAUGGUCCAGACUGAGGUACAGCCCCAUCCUGCUGAAGUGUGCCACAUAAGACUCUAGGGCUGUAUGAAUACAGGACCAAACUAGGGCUUAAAGGCCAGUGAAUACAGGACCAAACUAGGGCUGAAAACUACCAGGGAUGUGAUUUUUCCGCAUUAAUCUGGAAUUCCGGAUAUUCCGACCUAAAAAUCGGUCCCACGUGAAUCAUGAACAAGGAUGUUUGU